RNAcentral lists this long non-coding RNA (219 nucleotides) under Elaeis guineensis (African oil palm). RNAcentral describes it as "long non-coding RNA (EGUI_LNC030922)". The record is from RNAcentral. Lineage: Eukaryota; Viridiplantae; Streptophyta; Magnoliopsida; Arecales; Arecaceae.
AUAUAAUCAUAACGUAUAACUUCAUUUCAAAAUUAUAAUUAUUUUAUAAUACUUACAUGUAUCUGAUUCGAUUCGAUCUAAUCUCUCUUAUUUAUCCGAUGCGAUAUAACUUGAAGCAUAUUUAUAACAGAUAUAGGUAUAAAAUUUUUAAUUACAGAAUUAGUAUGGAUAUUGACUGAAAUGACUCAUAUCCGAUCUAUUACCAUCUUUAGCUGUCAA